CCAUCCCGGCCCUGCGGGGUCCCCGAGGAGGGCGAGAGGCAGCGCAUCAUCAUGUACUCUGCAUCCUCUGCUGCUGCUGCGGGGUGAGGGGGGGGGGAUCUGAGUCACAGCCCCCCUCCGUGCCCCCCCGGCACCGCCUGCUCCCCGUUGCGCUCACCCGCCGGGGCCCUGCAGCCGUUGCAGCAGCUCUCCCACCGACUGCUUCUUGGCUCGGGCUGCGGCGCUGAGGCUCUCCCGGUCGAGGGAGGAGCAGAAAGGAGCGCAGUGCAUGGGAGCGCUGCUGCUGCUGCUGCUGCUGGAGGCUGCUCCGUGCAUGCAGAAAGUGCAGAGCAGCCACCAGCUGGGAGCGGGGAGGGGGGUCCUGGGGGUCCUGCAGCAGCAGCAGGGCCAGGCACUGCCAUGGUGCCGCAUCCCCUGCAGCAAUGCAUCCCCAUUGCAUCCCUGUGGUCCCAGCAUCCCUGCACCGAUGCAUCCCCAUUGCAUCUCGGUGGUGCCUGCAUCCCCUGCAGCAACACAUCCCCAUUGCAUCCCCACGGCGCCUGCAUCCCUGCACCAACACAUUCCAAUGGUGCCAGCAUCCCCGCACCAAUGCAUCCCCAUUGCAUCUCUAUGGUGCUUGCAUCCCUGCACCAACGCAUCCCCACGGUGCCAGCAUACCUGCACCAAUGCAUCCCCAUUGCAUCUCCGUGGUGCCUACAUCCCCCGCAGCAAUGCAUCAAAGUUGCAUCCCAAUGGUGCCAGCAUCCCUGCACCAAUGCAUCCCACGGUGCCAGCAUGCCCCCACAAAUGCACCCCCAUUGCAUCCUUGUGGUUCCAGCAUCCCUGCACCAACGCAUCCCCUGCAGCAACGCACCCCCGUCGCACCCCACGCACCAAUGCAUCCCUGCCGCCAUCCUGCACAGAUGCAGCACAGCUCCAAAGAGAGCGGCAGACCCCCCAUCCUCCCCUCCCCUCCCCAGCAGCAGCAGCAGCAGAUGGGGGCAAAGGGAUGCAGGCAGCAGAUCGUGCGCUCGGCGCGUGGGAUGGGAGGUGUUGGCAUCGGGGAACGCGUGUGUGCCGGGGGGGGGAAGGAAACAUCUGGCAGAGCAGCGGGGCUGAGCAAUGCCGGAGCUGCGCCCAGACAUCUGGAUUGCCCUGGAAACGGGGGGAGGGGGGGGGGGACGAGAAAAGGGGGGGACGAGAAAAGGGGGGGGACGCACUCCCCGAGCAACGCAGAGUGCUGCUGGGGGGGCUGCGGGGCCGACGCUGCCCUCUGCGCCCGGCUCUGCCUCCCACCCCGCGCUGCUCUCCUCUCUCCCCAAACCCCAACCAUAACAUCUCUGCCCCCCCCCUCCCCAGACCCCCCCUCCCCACCCCCCGACCCCCCCCCCCCCGGCGCCCCGCUGCGCUCACAGCUCCGUGCCCCAUAGCGGCACAGUGGGGCCGUCCUCCACGGUGACCCCCCGCCAACCUCCGGCGUUUGGGGGGCGUUGGGGAGCGGUGGGGAGGGGGGGGGGAAACAGCCCCCAACCACGGGGCCACGAGGAGGGGGUGCCGUGGGGAUGGGGGCGCUGCCACGGGGUCAAACGAGGAGUCCACGGGGCGGGAGGGGGUCCGCAGCUGUGGGGCACCCCAGGGAGCACAGCCGGGAUGACUCAGAGGAGGAGACGGAGGAGAGGCCUGGAGCUGCGCCCGGCCGCAGCGUGACCCCGCGCCGUGGCCAUAGGGUGGGGGGCCCUUCCCUCCACCCCCACAUCGCUGUGCCCCCGCG
RNAcentral lists this long non-coding RNA (1750 nucleotides) under Gallus gallus (chicken). RNAcentral's name for it is "lncRNA (ENSGALG00010020829.1)". Lineage: Eukaryota; Metazoa; Chordata; Aves; Galliformes; Phasianidae. The record is from RNAcentral.